Molecule: ribosomal RNA, 425 nt
Filed under: uncultured bacterium
Lineage: Bacteria
Description: partial 16S ribosomal RNA
Rfam family: Bacterial small subunit ribosomal RNA
Source: RNAcentral
GUGGGGAAUCUUAGACAAUGGGCGCAAGCCUGAUCUAGCCAUGCCGCGUGAGCGAUGAAGGCCUUAGGGUUGUAAAGCUCUUUCAGCUGGGAAGAUAAUGACGGUACCAGCAGAAGAAGCCCCGGCUAACUCCGUGCCAGCAGCCGCGGUAAUACGGAGGGGGCUAGCGUUGUUCGGAAUUACUGGGCGUAAAGCGCACGUAGGCGGAUCAGAAAGUCAGAGGUGAAAUCCCAGGGCUCAACCUUGGAACUGCCUUUGAAACUCCCAGUCUUGAGUUCGAGAGAGGUGAGUGGAAUUCCGAGUGUAGAGGUGAAAUUCGUAGAUAUUCGGAGGAACACCAGUGGCGAAGGCGGCUCACUGGCUCGAUACUGACGCUGAGGUGCGAAAGCGUGGGGAGCAAACAGGAUUAGAAACCCUUGUAGUCC